AGUGGGAGAAUGGGUUGGGAGGAGUUUGAUGAGAUGAGUACUGUUGGCUGAAUCCCAGAAAGAGUUUCAGGAGCACAGAAGCAGGACUCCAAACCCGAUCUGGGAUUCCCUAGAUACAGUAACAUUUAAAUGACCUCUUGAAGAAUGAAUCAAAGGUAGCCAGGAAAUGAGCAAGAGAAGUUUUCGGGUAGAGGAAAAGGUGCAAAGGCCUAAGACAAGAGGCAUCUAUGGGAAACUUGUAGAAACUGUCACCAGAUCUCAAGCCAGCCAAGAUGAGGAUUGAGAUCUUCAUCAGAGCUUGAAGAGAGUCAGAAAGGGCCAAGUGCAGGUCUGCAGAGCCCUAUGAAGGCAUUCUGCUAUUUAUCCCCAAAGUGUGGCACUGGCUGCUUUGUAUGGGUGUCAACCCAUGCUGUUGUUUACAGACCUCAUUGCAAAGAC
Molecule: long non-coding RNA, 438 nt
Organism: Bos taurus (domestic cattle)
Lineage: Eukaryota; Metazoa; Chordata; Mammalia; Artiodactyla; Bovidae
Source: Ensembl